This 423-nucleotide ribosomal RNA is filed under the name uncultured bacterium. RNAcentral describes it as "bacterial SSU rRNA". It matches the Rfam family "Bacterial small subunit ribosomal RNA", at positions 207 to 622 of the family's 1533-position model. The record is from RNAcentral.
AAGACCUUGCACUUUUGGAGCGGCCGAUGUCUGAUUAGCUWGUUGGUGGGGUAAUGGCYUACCAAAGCUUCGAUCAGUAGCUGGUCUGAGAGGACGGCCAGCCACACUGGGACUGAGACACGGCCCAGACUCCUACGGGAGGCAGCAGUGGGGAAUUUUGGACAAUGGGSGCAASCCUGAUCCAGCCAUGCCGCGUGAGUGAAGAAGGCCUUCGGGUUGUAAAGCUCUUUCAGCCGGAACGAAACGGUUACGGAUAACACCCGUGACUACUGACGGUACCGGAAGAAGAAGCACCGGCUAACUACGUGCCAGCAGCCGCGGUAAUACGUAGGGUGCGAGCGUUAAUCGGAAUUACUGGGCGUAAAGCGUGCGCAGGUGGUUUUGUAAGUCAGAUGUGAAAGCCCCGGGCUCAACCUGGGAACU